This 771-nucleotide ribosomal RNA is filed under the name uncultured bacterium. RNAcentral describes it as "bacterial SSU rRNA". It matches the Rfam family "Bacterial small subunit ribosomal RNA", at positions 8 to 796 of the family's 1533-position model. The record is from RNAcentral.
AGAGUUUGAUCCUGGCUCAGGACGAACGCUGGCGGCGUGCUUAACACAUGCAAGUCGAACGGAAAGGCCCUUCGGGGUACUCGAGUGGCGAACGGGUGAGUAACACGUGGGUGAUCUGCCCUGCACUUUGGGAUAAGCCUGGGAAACUGGGUCUAAUACCGAAUAUGACCAUGCGCCUCCUGGUGUGUGGUGGAAAGCUUUUGCGGUGUGGGAUGGGCCCGCGGCCUAUCAGCUUGUUGGUGGGGUAGUGGCCUACCAAGGCGACGACGGGUAGCCGGCCUGAGAGGGUGACCGGCCACACUGGGACUGAGAUACGGCCCAGACUCCUACGGGAGGCAGCAGUGGGGAAUAUUGCACAAUGGGCGCAAGCCUGAUGCAGCGACGCCGCGUGAGGGAUGACGGCCUUCGGGUUGUAAACCUCUUUCAGCACAGACGAAGCGCAAGUGACGGUAUGUGCAGAAGAAGGACCGGCCAACUACGUGCCAGCAGCCGCGGUAAUACGUAGGGUCCGAGCGUUGUCCGGAAUUACUGGGCGUAAAGAGCUCGUAGGUGGUUUGUCGCGUUGUUCGUGAAAACUCACAGCUUAACUGUGGGCGUGCGGGCGAUACGGGCAGACUUGAGUACUGCAGGGGAGACUGGAAUUCCUGGUGUAGCGGUGGAAUGCGCAGAUAUCAGGAGGAACACCGGUGGCGAAGGCGGGUCUCUGGGCAGUAACUGACGCUGAGGAGCGAAAGCGUGGGGAGCGAACAGGAUUAGAUACCCUGGUAGUCC